UGGGCUAUAGCUCAGUGGUAGAGCACAUGCCCGGCAUGCAGGAGACCCUAGGUUUGAUGCCUAGUAGUGCGG
Molecule: non-coding RNA, 72 nt
Organism: Ictidomys tridecemlineatus (thirteen-lined ground squirrel)
Lineage: Eukaryota; Metazoa; Chordata; Mammalia; Rodentia; Sciuridae
Source: Rfam